GAUGAACGCUGGCGGCGUGCCUAAUACAUGCAAGUCGAGCGAACAGACGAUGAGCUUGUUCCUCUGACGUUAGCGGCGGACGGGUGAGUAACACGUGGAUAACCUACCUAUAAUACUGGGAUAACUUCGGGAAACCGGAGCUAAUACCGGAUAAUAUAUUGAACCGCAUGGUUCAAUAGUGAAAGACGGUUUUGCUGUCACUUAUAGAUGGAUCCGCGCCGCAUUAGCUAGUUGGUAAGGUAACGGCUUACCAAGGCAACGAUGCGUAGCCGACCUGAGAGGGUGAUCGGCCAAACUGGAACUGGGACACGGUCCAGACUCCUACGGGAGGCAGCAGUAGGGAAUCUUGCGCAAUGGGCGAAAGCCUGACGGAGCAACGCCGCGUGAGUGAUGAAGGUAUUCGGAUCGUAAAACUCUGUUAUUAGGGAAGAACAAAUGUGUAAGUAAAUAUGCACGUCUUGACGGUACCUAAUCAGAAAGCCACGGCUAACUACGUG
RNAcentral lists this ribosomal RNA (497 nucleotides) under uncultured bacterium. RNAcentral describes it as "partial 16S ribosomal RNA". It matches the Rfam family "Bacterial small subunit ribosomal RNA", at positions 28 to 507 of the family's 1533-position model. The record is from RNAcentral.